CAGCAGCCGCGGUAAUACGUAGGGGGCAAGCGUUAUCCGGAAUUACUGGGUGUAAAGGGAGCGUAGACGGUUAAACAAGUCUGAAGUGAAAUGCCGGGGCUCAACCCCGGAGCUGCUUUGGGAACUGUAGAACUGGAGUGUCGGAGGGGUAAGCGGAAUUCCCAGUGUAGCGGUGAAAUGCGUAGAUAUUGGGAGGAACACCGGCGGCGAAGGCGGCUUACUGGACGACAACUGACGUUGAGGCUCGAAGGCGUGGGUAGCAAACAGGAUUAGAUACCCCUGUAGUCCCUGUCUCUUAUAC
RNAcentral lists this ribosomal RNA (301 nucleotides) under uncultured bacterium. RNAcentral's name for it is "partial 16S ribosomal RNA". It matches the Rfam family "Bacterial small subunit ribosomal RNA", at positions 509 to 807 of the family's 1533-position model. The record is from RNAcentral.